CCAGUCUCUCAUGCUGUGAAGCAAACAUUUCACCACUGAGCUGCAAAUCCAGACCAAAUAUUUUGGAUUCUAAAAAAAAAAUUGUUAUCAUCAAAAUACUUGUCAUCUUUGACCACUGCUUCUUCCCCAUCUCUCAUGUCUAAUCAACUUUUUUUUUUUUAAUUGCAGAUUGACCUCGGGGGCACUUAACCACUGAGCCACAUCCCCAGGCCAUUUUUUUGUAUUUUGUUUAGAGACAGAGUCUCACUGAGGUGCUUAGGGCCUCAAUAAGUUGCUGAGGUUGGCUUUGAACCUGCAACCCUCCUACCUCAGCCUCCAAAGCCACUGGAAUUACAGGAGUAAACCACUGCACAUAGCUUCAACUUUUAAGUACUACAUCUCUCUAGAAUGUUUUUACCCUUCACCUCCUCUUCACUGCCUCUACCAUACUUCUAGUCUCUACUAAAAGUUACUUGGAUUUGGUUAUGAUUACAAAUUUCAUAAACAUUAUGGCAUAGCUUUACAUAUUAUGAUUAUAUUUAUAGCUUUGACUAUAAAAUGAUUGAUUGUAAAUCAUUCCCUUUCUCAAAACUAUGCAAUGACUCACUACUCUGUAAAAAACAAUCAAAUCCUACACUCUUAUAUUUAAAGUUUCUUCACCAAGCUCUCUUUGACUGAUUCCACAUUCCAACAAAUGAUUCAAAAGAAAUUAUUUAUAUAUAUGUAUAAAAUUAGAGAAUAAACAAAAAUAUAAAUUAAUAUUUAACCCACUUGAAUCAAAGUGUGAAAUAUGAUAUAUCAAGAACUAUGUAAUGUUUUGAACAACCAACAAUAAAAAAUUUAAAAUAAAUAAAUAAGAUAAAAGAGAGUGAGAGAGAAUUUUUUAAUAUUUAUGUUUUAUUUUUUCAGCGGGCACAACUUUGUAUGUGCUGCUGAGGAUCGAACCCGAGCCGCACGCAUGCCAGGCGAGCGCACUACCGCUUGAGCCAC
Molecule: long non-coding RNA, 969 nt
Filed under: Marmota monax (woodchuck)
Lineage: Eukaryota; Metazoa; Chordata; Mammalia; Rodentia; Sciuridae
Source: RNAcentral